UGAUGCAGCCAUGCCGCGUGUGUGAAGAAGGCCUUCGGGUUGUAAAGCACUUUCAGCGAGGAGGAAAGGUUAGUGAUUAAUACUCACUAGCUGUGACGUUACUCGCAGAAGAAGCACCGGCUAACUUCGUGCCAGCAGCCGCGGUAAUACGAGGGGUGCAAGCGUUAAUCGGAAUUACUGGGCGUAAAGCGUACGCAGGCGGUUUGUUAAGCGAGAUGUGAAAGCCCCGGGCUCAACCUGGGAACUGCAUUUCGAACUGGCAAACUAGAGUCUUGUAGAGGGGGGUAGAAUUUCAGGUGUAGCGGUGAAAUGCGUAGAGAUCUGAAGGAAUACCGGUGGCGAAGGCGGCCCCCUGGACAAAAGACUGACGCUCAGGUACGAAAGCGUGGGGAGCAAACAGGAUUAGAUACCCUGGUAGUCCACGCCGUAAACGAUGUCUACUCGGAAUUUGGUGUCUUGAACACUGGGUUCUCAAGCUAACGCAUUAAGUAGACCGCCUGGGGAGUACGGCCGCAAGGUUAAAACUCAAAUGAAUUGACGGGGGCCCGCACAAGCGGUGGAGCAUGUGGUUUAAUUCGAUGCAACGCGAAGAACCUUACCUACUCUUGACAUCCUCAGAACUUCCAGAG
This 629-nucleotide ribosomal RNA is filed under the name Shewanella sp. RNAcentral describes it as "bacterial SSU rRNA". It matches the Rfam family "Bacterial small subunit ribosomal RNA", at positions 384 to 1005 of the family's 1533-position model. The record is from RNAcentral. Lineage: Bacteria; Pseudomonadati; Pseudomonadota; Gammaproteobacteria; Alteromonadales; Shewanellaceae.